This 789-nucleotide ribosomal RNA is filed under the name uncultured bacterium. RNAcentral's name for it is "bacterial SSU rRNA". It matches the Rfam family "Bacterial small subunit ribosomal RNA", at positions 8 to 798 of the family's 1533-position model. The record is from RNAcentral.
AGAGUUUGAUCAUGGCUCAGGACGAACGCUGGCGGCGUGCUUAACACAUGCAAGUCGAACGGAAAGGCCCCUUCGGGGGUACUCGAGUGGCGAACGGGUGAGUAACACGUGGGUGAUCUGCCCUGCACUUUGGGAUAAGCCUGGGAAACUGGGUCUAAUACCGAAUAGGACCGCAUGCUUCAUGGUGUGUGGUGGAAAGCUUUUGCGGUGUGGGAUGGGCCCGCGGCCUAUCAGCUUGUUGGUGGGGUAAUGGCCUACCAAGGCGACGACGGGUAGCCGGCCUGAGAGGGUGUCCGGCCACACUGGGACUGAGAUACGGCCCAGACUCCUACGGGAGGCAGCAGUGGGGAAUAUUGCACAAUGGGCGCAAGCCUGAUGCAGCGACGCCGCGUGGGGGAUGACGGCCUUCGGGUUGUAAACCUCUUUCAGUAUCGGCGAAGCUCCAGGAUUUUUCUUGGGGUGACGGUAGGUACAGAAGAAGCACCGGCCAACUACGUGCCAGCAGCCGUGGUAAUACGUAGGGUGCGAGCGUUGUCCGGAAUUACUGGGCGUAAAGAGCUCGUAGGUGGUUUGUCACGUUGUCUGUGAAAACUCACAGCUUAACUGUGGGCGUGCGGGCGAUACGGGCAGACUGGAGUACUGUAGGGGAGACUGGAAUUCCUGGUGUAGCGGUGGAAUGCGCAGAUAUCAGGAGGAACACCGGUGGCGAAGGCGGGUCUCCGGGCAGUAACUGACGCUGAGGAGCGAAAGCGUGGGGAGCGAACAGGAUUAGAUACCCUGGUAGUCCAA